This 496-nucleotide ribosomal RNA is filed under the name uncultured bacterium. RNAcentral's name for it is "partial 16S ribosomal RNA". It matches the Rfam family "Bacterial small subunit ribosomal RNA", at positions 29 to 507 of the family's 1533-position model. The record is from RNAcentral.
AUGCACGCUGGCGGCGUGCCUAAUACCUGCCAGUCGAGCGAACAGAUGAGGAGCUUGCUCCUCUGACGUUAGCGGCGGACGGGUGAGUAACACGUGGAUAACCUACCUAUAAGACUGGGAUAACUUCGGGAAACCGGAGCUAAUACCGGAUAAUAUAUUGAACCGCAUGGUUCAAUAGUGAAAGACGGUUUUGCUGUCACUUAUAGAUGGAUCCGCGCCGCAUUAGCUAGUUGGUAAGGUAACGGCUUACCAAGGCAACGAUGCGUAGCCGACCUGAGAAGGUGAUCGGCCACACUGGAACUGAGACACGGUCCAGACUCCUACGGGAGGCAGCAGUAGGGAAUCUUCCGCAAUGGGCGAAAGCCUGACGGAGCAACGCCGCGUGAGUGAUGAAGGUCUUCGGAUCGUAAAACUCUGUUAUUAGGGAAGAACAAAUGUGUAAGUAACUAUGCACGUCUUGACGGUACCUAAUCAGAAAGCCACGGCUAACUACGUG